This 492-nucleotide ribosomal RNA is filed under the name uncultured bacterium. RNAcentral's name for it is "partial 16S ribosomal RNA". It matches the Rfam family "Bacterial small subunit ribosomal RNA", at positions 29 to 507 of the family's 1533-position model. The record is from RNAcentral.
AGUGAACGCUGGCGGUAGGCCUAACACAUGCAAGUCGAACGGCAGCACAGUAAGAGCUUGCUCUUACGGGUGGCGAGUGGCGGACGGGUGAGGAAUACAUCGGAAUCUACUUUUUCGUGGGGGAUAACGUAGGGAAACUUACGCUAAUACCGCAUACGACCUACGGGUGAAAGCAGGGGAUCUUCGGACCUUGCGCGAUUGAAUGAGCCGAUGUCGGAUUAGCUAGUUGGCGGGGUAAAGGCCCACCAAGUCGACGAUCCGUGGCUGGUCUGAGAGGAUGAUAGGCCACAUGGGAACUGAGACACGGUCCAGACUCCUACGGGAGGCAGCAGUGGGGAAUAUUGGACAAUGGGCGCAAGCCUGAUACAGCCAUACCGCGUGGGUGAAGAAGGCCUUCGGGUUGUAAAGCCCUUUUGUUGGGAAAGAAAAGCAGCAGGUUAAUACCACGCUGUUCUGACGGUACCCAAAGAAUAAGCACCGGCUAACUUCGUG